RNAcentral lists this ribosomal RNA (500 nucleotides) under uncultured bacterium. Its description in RNAcentral is "partial 16S ribosomal RNA". It matches the Rfam family "Bacterial small subunit ribosomal RNA", at positions 30 to 523 of the family's 1533-position model. The record is from RNAcentral.
AUUGAACGCUGGCGGAAUGCUUUACACAUGCAAGUCGAACGGCAGCACGGGGGCAACCCUGGUGGCGAGUGGCGAACGGGUGAGUAAUACAUCGGAACGUGCCCAGUCGUGGGGGAUAACGUAGCGAAAGUUACGCUAAUACCGCAUACGAUCUACGGAUGAAAGCGGGGGACCGUAAGGACUCGCGCGAUUGGAGCGGCCGAUGUCAGAUUAGGUAGUUGGUGAGGUAAGGGCUCACCAAGCCGACGAUCUGUAGCUGGACUGAGAGGACUACCAGCCACACUGGGACUGAGACACAGCCCAGACUCCUACGGGAGGAAGCAGUGGUGAAUUUUGGACAAUGGGCGCAAGCCUGAUCCAGCCAUUCCGCGUGCAGGACGAAGGCCUUCGGGUUGUAAACUGCUUUUGUACGGAACGAAAAGGCUCUGGUUAAUACCUGGGGCUCAUGACGGUACCGUAAGAAUAAGCACCGGCUAACUACGUGCCAGCAGCCGCGGUAA